This is a small nucleolar RNA of Mastomys coucha (southern multimammate mouse), 103 nucleotides long. RefSeq annotates it as small nucleolar RNA U13. The transcript has a single exon. The record is from RefSeq and is a predicted model, not a curated record. Lineage: Eukaryota; Metazoa; Chordata; Mammalia; Rodentia; Muridae.
AUACUUUUGUGUUUCAGGAGCAUAAUUAUUGGUUUUUACAUAUUCAUUUGAUAUGUAACUCCUUCAAACUACAUUAUAAUUUUGGCAUAUUACCCAUCUGAAA